AGUGAACGCUGGCGGUAGGCCUAACACAUGCAAGUCGAACGGCAGCACAGGAGAGCUUGCUCUCUGGGUGGCGAGUGGCGGACGGGUGAGGAAUACAUCGGAAUCUACUCUGUCGUGGGGGAUAACGUAGGGAAACUUACGCUAAUACCGCAUACGACCUACGGGUGAAAGCAGGGGACCUUCGGCACCUGCGCGAUUGAAUGACGCGAUGUCGGAUUAGCUAGUUGGCGGGGUAAAGGCCCACCAAGGCGCCGAUCCGUAGCUGGUCUGAGAGGAUGAUCAGCCACACUGGAACUGAGACACGGUCCAGACUCCUACGGGAGGCAGCAGUGGGGAAUAUUGGACAAUGGGCGCAAGCCUGAUCCAGCCAUACCGCGUGGGUGAAGAAGGCCUUCGGGUUGUAAAGCCCUUUUGUUGGGAAAGAAAUCCAGCUGGCCAAUACCCGGUUGGGAUGACGGUACCCAAAGAAUAAGCACCGGCUAACUUCGUGCCAGCAGCCGCCGUAA
This 506-nucleotide ribosomal RNA is filed under the name uncultured bacterium. RNAcentral describes it as "partial 16S ribosomal RNA". It matches the Rfam family "Bacterial small subunit ribosomal RNA", at positions 29 to 523 of the family's 1533-position model. The record is from RNAcentral.